Molecule: ribosomal RNA, 448 nt
Filed under: uncultured bacterium
Lineage: Bacteria
Description: bacterial SSU rRNA
Rfam family: Bacterial small subunit ribosomal RNA
Source: RNAcentral
UCCAGACUCCUACGGGAGGCAGCAGUGGGGAAUAUUGCACAAUGGGGGGAACCCUGAUGCAGCGACGCCGCGUGAGUGAAGAAGUAUUUCGGUAUGUAAAGCUCUGUCAGCAGGGAAGAAGAAAGACGGUACCUGACCAAGAAGCCCCGGCUAACUACGUGCCAGCAGCCGCGGUAAUACGUAGGGGGCAAGCGUUAUCCGGAUUUACUGGGUGUAAAGGGAGCGUAGACGGCAGGGCAAGUCUGGAGUGAAAGGCAGGGGCCCAACCCCUGGACUGCUCUGGAAACUGUCCGGCUGGAGUGCAGGAGAGGUAAGUGGAAUUCCUAGUGUAGCGGUGAAAUGCGUAGAUAUUAGGAGGAACACCAGUGGCGAAGGCGGCUUGCUGGACUGUAAAUGACGCUGAGGCUCGAAAGCGUGGGGAGCAAACAGGAUUAGAUACCCGCGUAGG